This is a non-coding RNA of Pelobates cultripes (western spadefoot toad), 270 nucleotides long. The record is from the annotation of a GenBank genome assembly. NCBI's taxonomy places the organism in Eukaryota, Metazoa, Chordata, Amphibia, Anura, Pelobatidae.
GUCUCCCGAAUGGCGGCCACCCAGAGGACAAAGACCACACUACAAGAAUUGCCAAUUACCCGUUUGCAACAUUGUUGCGAACGGUAAUUGAAGGCACACUUACUCCUGGGGUGGUCUGAUUGUUCAGUAGUUUCACUUGCAUAAUAACUGGAGUGAUUUUACCGAACAAUCAGACAAAUGCUGCAUACACUUCACAUACACAUGGCACAAUUUAACCGAACACAUAGGAAUAUACAUAAUUUUGAGGACAGCCCAAUGCCAUCCGCUACA